UACGAAGGGGGCUAGCGUUGCUCGGAAUCACUGGGCGUAAAGCGCACGUAGGCGGAUCUUUAAGUCAGGGGUGAAAUCCUGGAGCUCGACUCCAGAACUGCCUUUGAUACUGAGGAUCUCGAGUCCGGAAGAGGUGAGUGGAACUCCUAGUGUAGAGGUGGAAUUCGUAGAUAUUAGGAAGAACACCAGUGGCGAAGGCGACUCACUGGUCCGGUACUGACGCUGAGGUGCGAAAGCGUGGGGAGCAAACAGG
This 253-nucleotide ribosomal RNA is filed under the name uncultured bacterium. RNAcentral's name for it is "partial 16S ribosomal RNA". It matches the Rfam family "Bacterial small subunit ribosomal RNA", at positions 524 to 776 of the family's 1533-position model. The record is from RNAcentral.